Non-coding RNA from Oryctolagus cuniculus (rabbit), 356 nucleotides. NCBI's taxonomy places the organism in Eukaryota, Metazoa, Chordata, Mammalia, Lagomorpha, Leporidae. The record is from RefSeq and is a predicted model, not a curated record.
CUCCUCUGGGCGAUUCAUGGUCCCUGCCCCCCACACUCAGUGCCUGCUCUUCAGACUCGCACACUGGAAGGUCUUCAAAUGCUACGGAAUCAGCUAACAACACUGUUGUCCCAGUGCUACGGAAUCAGGUGACACUGUUGUCCCAGUGCAUAGUAUUGGGUGACGCUGUUGUCCCAGUGCAUAGUAUUGGGUGACGCUGUUGUCCUAAUGCAUAUCAGGUGACACUGUUGUCCCAAUGCUACGGAAUCAGGUGACGCUAUUGUCCCAGUGCAUGGUAUUGGGCGACACUGUUGGCCUAUUGCAUGGUAUCGGGUGAUACUGUUGUCCAAUGCUAUGGAAUCAAAUGAUGCUGUUUU